GAAGGAGGGCCCUUCGAGGUCGGCAAUCAGGUGUUGAUCUCAAGCCACCGCAAGCUGCUGUUCUCAAAAGCGAUGGUGCUGAUCGCUCGAUUUCGGACGCCGCCGGCGUUCGC
RNAcentral lists this non-coding RNA (113 nucleotides) under Rhizobiales bacterium GAS188. The record is from RNAcentral. Lineage: Bacteria; Pseudomonadati; Pseudomonadota; Alphaproteobacteria; Hyphomicrobiales.